Molecule: long non-coding RNA, 861 nt
Filed under: Zea mays
Lineage: Eukaryota; Viridiplantae; Streptophyta; Magnoliopsida; Poales; Poaceae
Description: drought responsive lncRNA
Source: RNAcentral
GGUUAAUAGUAUGAUAGUUUCAAGUUUCCAUGUGGUACUUGGCACCGUCUUCUGAUCCUCAGAAUGAUGUUGAUUAAAUCAGUUGACCAUGACGGGGAGAUUCUUAUAAAGGACCAGCAUCUCCUAGCAAAAUUGCAUCGGAAAAAAAGAUGGGUGAUUGUCUCUUCAGCUUGUAGAAUACAGUUGUCACAUGUGUAUGAGUCCAGUAGCAUAGCUCACUGCCUUAAAAAUGCCCGGGUAUUUAAUCUGUCCUUAAGUAAAAGCCAGAAGAAGACCUUGUGCUUGGGUUGACAUUUUGAUUUCCACAGCCAAGUGAAGAUGGGAUGAGUCCACUGGUUGCCCAUCAAGUGAGAAUAAAUCUUUUGUGAUGAAAAGAGGCUAGAAGAAGCAUUGCAGAGCCAUUUGUCUCUCUGAUUAUUAUGCGGAAGAUUAACCAAACGACCAUUCAAAGCUUGAAAUUGAACAAAGGCAUCUGCUGACAGUGGGGUGUGAAACAUCUCGUGCGAAGCUGCCAAUCUUGCUUGUUGGAUGGUGAUGUCCUUGCAUGAGGCGAAAGACCAAAGUUCUGGAUAUUGUGCCGAUUUGCAAAUACCAUCCCAGUUGUCAUGCCAUAGAAGCGUUGUUUUUCCAUCUCCGAUCUCCACCCGAGCAAUUCCCUUAGGUCCCGUUUGUUUCCUUUCAUUUUGAGGAAUUGGAAUCUUACUAAUAGAAUAUGCUAAUUUUUUAGAAUGUGACAUUCCACCACUUUCCAAAGUUAUCAUAUAAGCCUAUCUCAAAUUCAUGGGGUGAGAGAUAGAAAUUGAUUCUAUAGAUUUACAUGCUAUGUUUCCGAUGUACAACUUAUAGCACACUAUUCUACUU